GACGAACGCUGGCGGCGUGCUUAACACAUGCAAGUCGAACGGAAAGGCCCUGCUUUUGUGGGGUGCUCGAGUGGCGAACGGGUGAGUAACACGUGAGUAACCUGCCCUUGACUUUGGGAUAACUUCAGGAAACUGGGGCUAAUACCGGAUAGGAGCUCCUGCUGCAUGGUGGGGGUUGGAAAGUUUCGGCGGUUGGGGAUGGACUCGCGGCUUAUCAGCUUGUUGGUGAGGUAGUGGCUUACCAAGGCUUUGACGGGUAGCCGGCCUGAGAGGGUGACCGGCCACAUUGGGACUGAGAUACGGACCAGACUCCUACGGGAGGCAGCAGUGGGGAAUAUUGCACAAUGGGCGGAAGCCUGAUGCAGCAACGCCGCGUGCGGGAUGACGGCCUUCGGGUUGUAAACCGCUUUCGCCUGUGCCGAAGCGUGAGUGACGGUAAUGGGUAAAGAAGCACCGGCUAACUACGUG
This 468-nucleotide ribosomal RNA is filed under the name uncultured bacterium. RNAcentral describes it as "partial 16S ribosomal RNA". It matches the Rfam family "Bacterial small subunit ribosomal RNA", at positions 28 to 507 of the family's 1533-position model. The record is from RNAcentral.